AUGUCGCAAGGACAAGAAAGAAGAUCGGAAAAGUUGCUGCCGGUUGCCCUCCUAGGGCUAGGGAUCCUCCUCCAGCUCGCUGGCUGCAGCCCUCCACCGGACCCGGUGGUGUGCACGCACGGCACGUCCAACUGCACCGUCACCAACACGUACGGCUUCUUCCUCUGCCCCGCGGCCAACGUCACCUACCCGCGGACAGAGAAAGAGCUCGUCGCGGCUGUGGCGGCCGUGGCGGCCGUGAAACGGAAGGUGAAAGUGGCCACCAAGCACUCACACAGCAUCCCCAAGCUCGCGUGCCCCGGCGGCCACGAUGGCACAAUCAUAAGCACCGCGCGGCUGAACCGGACAGUGCGCGUCGACGCCGAGAAGCGACUCAUGACGGUGGAGAGCGGCAUGCUACUCCGGGACCUCAUCGAGGCCGCCGCCGCCGAGGGCCUGUCCUUGCCGCAUUCACCGUACUGGUCCGGCCUGACCAUCGGUGGGCUCCUGGCGACGGGCGCGCACGGGAGCUCGCUGUGGGGCAAAGGGGGCGCUGUUCACGAGUACGUGGUCGGGCUGAGGAUCGUGACGCCGGCGCCGGCCAGCCAGGGGUUCGCCGUGGUGAGGGAGCUUGGCGCCCAUCACCCGGACCUGGACGCCGCCAAGGUCUCCAUUGGCGUGCUGGGCGUCAUCUCUCAGGUAACUCUGGCCUUGCAGUCGCUGUUCAAGCGGUCGGUGACGUUCGUGAAGCGGGACGACUCAGACUUCGCGGACCGGGUGGCCAUGUGGGGCCGCCUCCACGAGUUCGGCGACAUGAUCUGGCUGCCGCAGCAGGGCAAGGUCGUCUACCGCCAGGACGACCGCGUCGACGUCUCCACGCCAGGCGACGGCCUCAAUGACAUGUUCCUUUUCCGCGCCAAUCCCACCCGGGCGACCAUCGCUGCAAGAGCCGCGGAGGAGCUGCUGCAGGAGAACAGCACCGACACCGCCCGGUGCGCGGCGGCGCAACUGCAGGCGGACACGCUGGAGAGGCUGGCCUACGGCUUCACCAACGAUGGCGCCUCCUUCACGGGGUACCCGGUGGUGGGGUACCAGCACCGCAUCCAGGCGUCUGGCACAUGCGUCGACAGCCCAGAGGACGGCCUCCGCUCCGCCUGCGGCUGGGACCCGUGGAUCCCGAGUUCUUUCAACGACAACUCCGGCUUCAGCGUCGCUCUCUCCAAGGCGCCGGCAUUCAUCGCUGACAUGCAGCGCCUCCGGGAUCUCAACCCUGCCGUGUUUUGUGCUGGCGUCGACCCUAGGAUAGGUGUGGCCUUCCGCUACAUCAAGGCAUCAUCUGCCUACCUCGGCAAGGCCGAGGACUCGAUUGCCAUCGACAUCGUCUACUACCGUAGCCACACCGCCGGCAUGCCACGCGUGCACGCCGACGUGGUGGACGAGAUCGAGCAGAUGGCGUUGCGCAAGUACGAUGCCCUGCCGCACUGGGGCAAGAACCGCAAUAUCGCUUUCAACGGUGCCAUCUCGAAGUACCCAAAAGCCAACGAGUUCCUAAUGGUGAAGGAUAGGUACGACCCUGACGGACUCUUCUCCAGUGAGUGGAGCGACCAGGUGCUCGGCAUCAAUGGGAGUCCCAAUAUCACCAAAGAGCAUUGUGCCAUCGAAGGACUCUGCGUCUGCUCCAAGGACUCGCAUUGCGCGCCUGAGCAGGGCUACUUCUGCCGACCGGGGAAGGUGUACGCGAAGGCUAGAGUUUGCUCAUUUGGCAAGGAUUAUUAG
This 1755-nucleotide ribosomal RNA is filed under the name Triticum aestivum (bread wheat). RNAcentral describes it as "partial small subunit ribosomal RNA". Lineage: Eukaryota; Viridiplantae; Streptophyta; Magnoliopsida; Poales; Poaceae. The record is from RNAcentral.